RNAcentral lists this ribosomal RNA (470 nucleotides) under uncultured bacterium. RNAcentral describes it as "bacterial SSU rRNA". It matches the Rfam family "Bacterial small subunit ribosomal RNA", at positions 364 to 827 of the family's 1533-position model. The record is from RNAcentral.
UUUCGCAAUGCCCGAAAGGGUGACGAAGCGACGCCGCGCGGGAAGAAGGCCUUCGGGUUGUAAACCGCUGUCGGGAGUUAAGAAAUGCAAGGGUGUUAACAGCAUCCUUGCUUGACUAAGGCUCCGGAGGAAGCCACGGCUAACUCUGUGCCAGCAGCCGCGGUAAUACAGAGGCGGCAAGCGUUGUUCGGAAUUAUUGGCGUAAAGAGCACGUAGGCGGCUGUGUAAGUCGGUUGUGAAAGCCUUCCGCUCAACGGGAGAACGGCAUCCGAUACUGCACGGCUUGAGUGCGGGAGGGGAGAGUGGAACUUCUGGUGGAGCGGUGAAAUGCGUAGAUAUCAGAAGGAACACCGGCGGCGAAGGCGACUCUCUGGCCCGUAACUGACGCUGAGUGUGCGAAAGCUAGGGGAGCAAACGGGAUUAGAUACCCCGGUAGUCCUAGCCGUAAACGAUGGGCACUAAGUAGAGGG